UGGUUGUUAAGUCAGAUGUGAAAGCCCGGGGCUCAACCUCGGAAUUGCAUUUGAAACUGGCAAACUAGAGUACUGUAGAGGGGGUAGAAUUUCAGGUGUAGCGGUGAAAUGCGUAGAGAUCUGAAGGAAUACCGGUGGCGAAGGCGGCCCCCUGGACAGAUACUGACACUCAGAUGCGAAAGCGUGGGGAGCAAACAGGAUUAGAUACCCUGGUAG
This 216-nucleotide ribosomal RNA is filed under the name uncultured bacterium. RNAcentral's name for it is "partial 16S ribosomal RNA". It matches the Rfam family "Bacterial small subunit ribosomal RNA", at positions 577 to 793 of the family's 1533-position model. The record is from RNAcentral.